Molecule: ribosomal RNA, 446 nt
Filed under: uncultured bacterium
Lineage: Bacteria
Description: bacterial SSU rRNA
Rfam family: Bacterial small subunit ribosomal RNA
Source: RNAcentral
ACGAACGCUGGCGGCGUGCUUAACACAUGCAAGUCGAGCGGUAAGGCCCUUUCGGGGGUACACGAGCGGCGAACGGGUGAGUAACACGUGGGUGACCUGCCCUCAGCUCUGGGAUAAGCCUGGGAAACCGGGUCUAAUACUGGAUAUGACUCCAUGACGCAUGUUGUGGGGUGGAAAGCCUUGUGCGGCUGAGGAUGGGCCCGCGGCCUAUCAGCUUGUUGGUGGGGUGAUGGCCUACCAAGGCGACGACGGGUAGCCGGCCUGAGAGGGCGACCGGCCACACUGGGACUGAGACACGGGCCCAGACUCCUACGGGAGGCAGCAGUGGGGAAUCUUGCGCAAUGGGCGAAAGCCUGACGCAGCGACGCCGCGUGAGGGAUGACGGCCUCGGGUGUAACCUCUUUCAGCUCCGACGAAGCGAGAGUGACGGUAGGAGCAGAAGAAGC